CGGACGGGUGAGUAACGCGUGGGUAACCUGCCUCAUACAGGGGGAUAACGGUUAGAAAUGACUGCUAAUACCGCAUAAGCACACAGUACCGCAUGGUACGGUGUGAAAAACUCCGGUGGUAUGAGAUGGACCCGCGUCUGAUUAGCUAGUUGGUGAGGUAACGGCCCACCAAGGCGACGAUCAGUAGCCGACCUGAGAGGGUGACCGACCACAUUGGGACUGAGACACGGCCCAG
RNAcentral lists this ribosomal RNA (235 nucleotides) under uncultured bacterium. Its description in RNAcentral is "partial 16S ribosomal RNA". It matches the Rfam family "Bacterial small subunit ribosomal RNA", at positions 99 to 334 of the family's 1533-position model. The record is from RNAcentral.